This 772-nucleotide unclassified non-coding RNA is filed under the name Hevea brasiliensis (rubber tree). Lineage: Eukaryota; Viridiplantae; Streptophyta; Magnoliopsida; Malpighiales; Euphorbiaceae. The record is from RNAcentral.
GCUUCUUGGAUGAAGAAUCAGAUGUCCUUUGUUCACUUUCUACUACGCAGAGAAUGUACGCAUUUGCUGGUUGUUUGGUUGCUGGUCUGGCUUGUAUGUUUCUGUCUCUGAUUGUCUUUGCCAAGCCCAUCAAGUUUGCAGUAUUAUUUACCUUUGGCAAUGUGUUGGCAGUUGGAAGCACAGUCUUCCUCAUUGGACUUGGGCGGCAACUAAGUAUGAUGUUUGACUCAGUCCGUGUUUAUGCAACAGCUAUUUACAUUGGAUUUGUAGUUAUAUCUCUUAUUUGUGCUCUCUUGAUUCAUAGCAAGAUUUUGACAGUUAUUUCAAUUGUCUGUGAGAUUUGUGCCCUUAUUUGGCAUUUUUAAUGGUUGUCCCAGCCCCUUACAUUCUCCCUUUUGAGCCAUUUCAGGUACAGUCUCAGUUACAUUCCAUUUGCCCGAACAAUGGUGUCUAAUUUUAUGGUACGAUUCUGUGACACUGAGCUGUAAACAAUGCAAAUUCGAGGGGAUUGAUCACUCGGGAUUGGUUUCUGGCUUCGUCUUCUUUUUUUUUUUUUCCCCAAAACAUGAGUUGGCACCUUUUUUGAAAAACUGUUUACCUGAGUGCAGUUUUUGUGCAUCCCAGUUGUUAACAGGCAUUGCCUGGUUCAGGAUUUCUUGAUUGUCUCUGGUCUCAGUUUCUUUUGCCCCCAUCUCCCUUAACUUUCCUUGGGAUCGAAAGCUUUAAUGCUAAGGGCCAGGGAAGAAGGAAAAAAAAAAAAAAGUAGGGAACA